RNAcentral lists this transfer RNA (77 nucleotides) under Candidatus Bathyarchaeota archaeon. Its description in RNAcentral is "tRNA-Phe". It matches the Rfam family "tRNA". From Rfam's summary of the family: Transfer RNA (tRNA) molecules are approximately 80 nucleotides in length. Their secondary structure includes four short double-helical elements and three loops (D, anti-codon, and T loops). The record is from RNAcentral. Lineage: Archaea; Thermoproteati; Candidatus Bathyarchaeota.
GCGGCCGUCGUCUAGCUGGUUAGGACACAGAUAUAAAAAGCCUGCGAUCCCGGGUUCGAAUCCCGGCGGCCGCACCA